This 261-nucleotide long non-coding RNA is filed under the name Selaginella moellendorffii. RNAcentral's name for it is "long non-coding RNA (SMOE_LNC000365)". Lineage: Eukaryota; Viridiplantae; Streptophyta; Lycopodiopsida; Selaginellales; Selaginellaceae. The record is from RNAcentral.
CAAUAUGGCCGAAAUCUCAUGAUAUUCUUCAAGUGAGAGCACCUUUAUGUUGAUCAGGUUUUUGAAGUAGAGAGGAAGGCCAAGUCACUUGGCUGCAACACGUGAAAGGCUUGCCUGAAAACAUUUAUGCACUUACAUAUCAAAAUCGGAAAAGAUUAUCUUGGUUAGAAUCAUUGAUGGUGAAAUAUAGACAUUAAAAUGAUUAAGAAAAACUCAUUAAGUGAGAUUAAAGAAAAACUUGUUAAAAAAAAUAAAAAACAA